UUAGAGUUUCCUUCUGGCUCAGGAUGAACGCUGGCGGCGUGCUUAACACAUGCAAGUCGAGCGAAGCAUUUAAUUCGAAGUUUUCGGAUGGAGAGUUAUCUGACUGAGCGGCGGACGGGUGAGUAACGCGUGGGGAACCUGCCUCAUACAGGGGAAUAACAGUUAGAAAUGACUGCUAAUGCCGCAUAAGCGCACAGUACCGCAUGGUACAGUGUGAAAAACUCCGGUGGUAUGAGAUGGCCCCGCGUCUGAUUAGGCAGUUGGCGGGGUAACGGCCCACCAAACCGACGAUCAGUAGCCGACCUGAGAGGGUGACCGGCCACAUUGGGACUGAGACACGGCCCAAACUCCUACGGGAGGCAGCAGUAGGGAAUCUUCCACAAUGGACGAAAGUCUGAUGGAGCAACGCCGCGUGAGUGAAGAAGGGUUUCGGCUCGUAAAGCUCUGUUGGUAGUGAAGAAAGAUAGAGGUAGUAACUGGCCUUUAUUUGACGGUAAUUACUUAGAAAGUCACGGCUAACUACGUGCCAGCAGCCGCGGUAAUACGUAGGUGGCAAGCGUUGUCCGGAUUUAUUGGGCGUAAAGCGAGUGCAGGCGGUUCAAUAAGUCUGAUGUGAAAGCCUUCGGCUCAACCGGAGAAUUGCAUCAGAAACUGUUGAACUUGAGUGCAGAAGAGGAGAGUGGAACUCCAUGUGUAGCGGUGGAAUGCGUAGAUAUAUGGAAGAACACCAGUGGCGAAAGGCGGCUCUCUGGUCUGCAACUGACGCUGAGGCUCGAAAGCAUGGGUAGCGAACAGGAUUAGAUACCCUGGUAGUCCAUGCCGUAAACGAUGAGUGCUAAGUGUUGGGAGGUUUCCGCCUCUCAGUGCUGCAGCUAACGCAUUAAGCACUCCGCCUGGGGAGUACGACCGCAAGAAUGAAACUCAAAGGAAUUGACGGGGGCCCGCACAAGCGGUGGAGCAUGUGGUUUAAUUCGAAGCAACGCGAAGAACCUUACCAGGUCUUGACAUCCAGUGCAAACCUAAGAGAUUAGGUGUUCCCUUCGGGGACGCUGAGACAGGUGGUGCAUGGCUGUCGUCAGCUCGUGUCGUGAGAUGUUGGGUUAAGUCCCGCAACGAGCGCAACCCUUGUCAUUAGUUGCCAUCAUUAAGUUGGGCACUCUAAUGAGACUGCCGGUGACAAACCGGAGGAAGGUGGGGAUGACGUCAAGUCAUCAUGCCCCUUAUGACCCGGGCUACACACGUGCUACAAUGGACGGUACAACGAGAAGCGAACCUGCGAAGGCAAGCGGAUCUCUUAAAGCCGUUCUCAGUUCGGACUGUAGGCUGCAACUCGCCUACACGAAGCUGGAAUCGCUAGUAAUCGCGGAUCAGCACGCCGCGGUGAAUACGUUCCCGGGCCUUGCACACACCGCCCGUCA
This 1418-nucleotide ribosomal RNA is filed under the name uncultured bacterium. RNAcentral's name for it is "bacterial SSU rRNA". It matches the Rfam family "Bacterial small subunit ribosomal RNA". The record is from RNAcentral.